Molecule: non-coding RNA, 1510 nt
Organism: Biomphalaria pfeifferi
Lineage: Eukaryota; Metazoa; Mollusca; Gastropoda; Planorbidae
Source: the annotation of a GenBank genome assembly
CCCCCCCCCCCCCCCCCCCCCAGGCUUCCACUUGAGGGGGCCCCAAUUGAGUAUUUUUUACAUUAAAGUUUAAAUAUUACGCAAAACGCAGGGGCCCCCAAAGAGUUCAACCCCCGCGUGCCCCCAGCUGAUGGAAAAUUCCUAGCUACGCCCCUGCAGGUACAUCUGGGUUAUUAAAUAGUUCUUACCACUUGGUCAAGGUCAUAUUGUCUGUAAACAUUAUUUCGAAAAUCAGACUUCGAAAUGCUCAUAACUAAAAGAAGAAAAACUCCGGAUGUACCAAACAUUUCUCUCUAGAUUCUCUCUGCUCGCUACUUUCAUUUGUGGCUCUUCAGAAACUUUGUACAUAUUGAUAAAAGUGUCAUGGAACUUGUACAGGAUCUUGAUGUCUGUGUCUGCAAGUGUACAUGUCAUGAAUGAAUUACAUCCCUUGGUGAAUAUGUAGUGCUUUGAAAUUAAACUAUUCAUGUGUUUUGGAAUAUAUUUAUUUAAUACAUAUGUGACAUUGUUUAUAGUGAAUAUUGACAAAAAUAUGCUGUUGUAGUUUUUAAAACUAUGUGGAAUUACUUUUAAAGAGAAUUUGUAGGAGUUAUUUUAUCAUGAAUAGAUUUUUAGUAGUGUGUUUGUGAACACUUUCGCUUAGGGCACGGACAUAUGGAUUUUUAUUUAGGAAGUAACACAGUCAGUAUUUCAGGGCUUGAACCAUUUCCCCUUUGUAUCCAGGACUUUUAUACUUAGUGUAGUGGUUCUCAAAGUUUGAUUCUCAAGGGCCACUUGUUUAGUGGUUCCAUAAAUAAUGAUCAGGCUUUCAUAUGGUUUCUACAAGAUUAACCAUAUGAUUGAAGGAGGCAAGACACAGUGGCUCCAAUAGUUUGAUUCUCAUAGGUCACUUCAAUAGAUUCAGUUCCCAUAGAGGUUCCCAUAACUUGAUUCUCAAAGGUCACUUGUUUUUAGAUUCAGUAUAGUGGUUCCCAUAGCUUGAUUCUCAAUAUCCUCACUUGUUUUUAGAUUCAGUGUAGUGGUUCCCAUACUUUUGAUUCUCAAUAUCCUCACUUGCUUGUGUCCUGUUGACAAAUAUUUACUUUUGGUUUAUACUCCAGGUUGUGCAUUUGAAUUCAGUUUACUUGGAAAUUGUGAGAUGCUGGGGCAGUAGUUUCAAAAGGCAAUAAAAAAAACAAAAAGUCUAUUUGGUAGAACCAAAAAAAUAAGGUGCUAAUCCAGAUUGUAGCUUUGCCAUAUUUGAAGUUAUGUGAAAUAAUUAUUACCUAUACUAAUAUAUUUAUAUUCAGUCUCAAUAUCGCAGCAUUAUGUAAGUUAGGCCAGAGGACAUAAUCUCGCCAAUCUGCUUGCAGACCAGUAGGUGUGACAGAGCCAAAACUAUUGUUGGUUGAAUAUUGUUUUAAGAUUGUACCAUAUUAUUUUUCUUAUUAUAAAGAGAUUAUUAAAAUUGUACCAUAUUAUUUUUCUUAUUAUAAAGAGAUUAUUAAAAUUGUACCAUAUUAUUUUUCUU